UNUGACUUGAGUGCAGAAGGGGAGAGUGGAAUUCCAUGUGUAGCGGUGAAAUGCGUAGAUAUAUGGAGGAACACCAGUGGCGAAAGCGGCUCUCUGGUCUGUCACUGACGCUGAGGCUCGAAAGCGUGGGUAGCGAACAGGAUUAGAUACCCUGGUAGUNCACGCCGUAAACGAUGAGUGCUAGGUGUUAGGCCCUUUCCGGGGCUUAGUGCCGGAGCUAACGCAAUAAGCACUCCGCCUGGGGAGUACGACCGCAAGGUUGAAACUCAAUGGAAUUGACGGGGGCCCGCACAAGCGGUGGAGCAUGUGGUUUAAUUCGAAGCAACGCGAAGAACCUUACCAGGUCUUGACAUCCCGAUGCUAUUCUUAGAGAUAGGAAGUUACUUCGGUACAUCGGAGACAGGUGGUGCAUGGUUGUCGUCAGCUCGUGUCGUGAGAUGUUGGGUUAAGUCCCGCAACGAGCGCAACCCUUAUUGUUAGUUGCCAUCAUUAAGUUGGGCACUCUAGCGAGACUGCCGGUAAUAAACCGGAGGAAGGUGGGGAUGACGUCAAAUCAUCAUGCCCCUUAUGACCUGGGCUACACACGUGCUACAAUGGUCGGUACAACGAGUUGCGAGCCGGUGACGGCAAGCUAAUCUCUGAAAGCCGAUCUCAGUUCGGAUUGGAGGCUGCAACUCGCCUCCAUGAAGUCGGAAUCGCUAGUAAUCGCGGAUCAGCACGCCGCGGUGAGUACGUUCCCGGGCCUUGUACACACCGCCCGUCACACCACGAGAGUUUGUAACACCCGAAGUCG
RNAcentral lists this ribosomal RNA (793 nucleotides) under uncultured bacterium. RNAcentral describes it as "bacterial SSU rRNA". It matches the Rfam family "Bacterial small subunit ribosomal RNA", at positions 636 to 1429 of the family's 1533-position model. The record is from RNAcentral.